This 254-nucleotide long non-coding RNA is filed under the name Gallus gallus (chicken). Its description in RNAcentral is "lncRNA (ENSGALG00010023901.1)". The record is from RNAcentral. Lineage: Eukaryota; Metazoa; Chordata; Aves; Galliformes; Phasianidae.
AAUGAAUGCCUCAUUCGCCUUCAGUGUCUUAAUUAUACUGCAGGUACAAGAGAGACAUGGGCAUACUCCAGCAAAGUGCUGCUGAGAUCAUGAAUGAACUGAAGCAUCUCUCCUGCAAUGCAACCUGGAGAAGAGGAAGAUCAGGGGACCACUUCAGUGUCUAUAAAUAAGUACCUGAAGGGAGGGUGCAGAGAGGACAGAGCCAGGCACCGUGGUGACCAGUGCCAGGACAAUAGGCAAUGGGCACAAACUGG